UCCGCUUUCCAGACCCUCAGCAGCGCCUUUCGUGAGUAAUCAUCGAUCCCCGCAUCUGAGCCGUCCAGAUAGAAUUCCUUAAAGGCGUUCGCGAGAUAAUGGACGUCACUUGCCGCCAGAUUCAGACCCUUUGCACCGGUCGGAGGAACGAUGUGGGCGGCAUCUCCGGCAAGGAAAAGCCUGCCGAAGCGCAUCGGUUCGGCAACAAAGCUGCGAAGCGGAGCAAUGCUUUUCUCGAUCGA
This 242-nucleotide unclassified non-coding RNA is filed under the name Hevea brasiliensis (rubber tree). Lineage: Eukaryota; Viridiplantae; Streptophyta; Magnoliopsida; Malpighiales; Euphorbiaceae. The record is from RNAcentral.